ACAAACUCAACUUGUGCCCCUUAUUCCCCAUUACGUCACCAACAUUCAAUACCGAUUAUCUAAAACAAACUUUAGAACCCUCAUAAACUCAAAGCUCUCUCAUUUUCUUGAAGGAAAAAACAAGGGAAGAAAAUGAAUCCUCCUGAUAACAGUGACCACCCUCAACUCCCAACAAUCAAGAUCCACCACCCAUCCUCCCCUCACCACCCGUCCUCCGCCGCCAGCCCCACCCCCACCGCCGGAGCACGCCGUAAGAUCGGCGUGGCGGUCGACCUAUCCGAUGAGUCCGCCUUCGCCGUUCGUUGGGCCGUCCAAAACUACCUUCGACCCGGCGAUGCUGUCAUCCUCCUCCACGUGUCACCCACCUCCGUACUCUUCGGGGCCGAUUGGGGCCCUCUCCCCCACACCCCACAAACCCCAGAAACGCCACCGUCCCAGAAGCAACUGGAAGACGAUUUCGAUGCCUUCACGGCUUCAAAGGUGGCGGAUUUGGCCAAACCCUUGAGGGAAGCUGCGAUUCCCUUUAAGAUUCACAUAGUGAAAGAUCAUGAUAUGAGGGAAAGAUUGUGUCUUGAGGUGGAGAGGUUAGGGUUGAGUGCUGUUAUAAUGGGGAGUAGAGGGUUUGGAGCUGAGAAAAGAGGGAAUGAUGGGAGGUUGGGAAGUGUUAGUGAUUAUUGUGUGCAUCACUGUGUUUGUCCUGUUGUUGUUGUUAGGUAUCCUGAUGAGAAAGAUGGCGGGAAUGGUGAGCCCUUGGUGACGGUGAAGGCGGUUGAGGUGGAAGAGGAAGGUGGCAAAGAUGCUUAGCAAAUGCGGUAAUUGCAGCUUUAUCCUAUCAGUAGCAGGUUUGCAUUUUGAUGUCUCGGAGUCACUCGGAUUAGCCGGCUUAAAGAGAUUUCAUCAAAAUGUUUGGCAGUUAAUGGCACUUAGUUAAAAUGGAUCCUAGGAUUUUCUCUUUCCACUUUCAUCUCUUCUUCAUAUAACUCUUAUCGACGAUGAUAUUGUAUGAUUGAUGAGGUUCUUGAUUGUCUUUUAUUGCACUCGAGGAGAUCAUGUUUUACUGCACUGUGAUGAUAUAAUAUAAGGAUAAUGCCGGUGUCAACAUUUGAUUUCAGUUUUAUGAGCUGUUCUGAUUUGCUUUGAUGCCAUAGUGCUGAGCAGAAAUAUAUGAAAAAUAUUCCAUGAGCUUCACCUUGAA
This is a non-coding RNA of Durio zibethinus, 1195 nucleotides long. The record is from RefSeq and is a predicted model, not a curated record. NCBI's taxonomy places the organism in Eukaryota, Viridiplantae, Streptophyta, Magnoliopsida, Malvales, Malvaceae.